GACGAACGCUGGCGGCGUGCCUAAUACAUGCAAGUUGAGCGCUGAAGGUUGGUACUUGUACCAACUGGAUGAGCAGCGAACGGGUGAGUAACGCGUGGGGAAUCUGCCUUUGAGCGGGGGACAACAUUUGGAAACGAAUGCUAAUACCGCAUAAAAACUUUAAACACAAGUUUUAAGUUUGAAAGAUGCAAUUGCAUCACUCAAAGAUGAUCCCGCGUUGUAUUAGCUAGUUGGUGAGGUAAAGGCUCACCAAGGCGAUGAUACAUAGCCGACCUGAGAGGGUGAUCGGCCAAAUUGGGACUGAGACAAGGCCAAAACUCCUACGGGAGGCAGCAGUAGGGAAUCUUCGGCAAUGGACGAAAGUCUGACCGAGCAACGCCGCGUGAGUGAAGAAGGUUGUCGGAUCGUAAAACUCUGUUGGUAGAGAAGAACGUUGGUGAGAGUGGAAAGCUCAUCAAGUGACGGUAACUACCCAGAAAGGGACGGCUAACUACGUG
RNAcentral lists this ribosomal RNA (497 nucleotides) under uncultured bacterium. RNAcentral's name for it is "partial 16S ribosomal RNA". It matches the Rfam family "Bacterial small subunit ribosomal RNA", at positions 28 to 507 of the family's 1533-position model. The record is from RNAcentral.